AUUGAACGCUGGCGGCAGGCCUAACACAUGCAAGUCGAACGGUAACAGGGAGCAGCUUGCUGCUUUGCUGCCGAGUGGCGGACGGGUGAGUAAUGUCUGGGAAACUGCCCGAUGGAGGGGGAUAACUACUGGAAACGGUAGCUAAUACCGCAUAACGUCGCAAGACCAAAGAGGGGGACCUUAGGGCCUCUUGCCAUCGGAUGUGCCCAGAUGGGAUUAGCUAGUAGGUGGGGUAACGGCUCACCUAGGCGACGAUCCCUAGCUGGUCUGAGAGGAUGACCAGCCACACUGGAACUGAGACACGGUCCAGACUCCUACGGGAGGCAGCAGUGGGGAAUAUUGCACAAUGGGCGCAAGCCUGAUGCAGCCAUGCCGCGUGUAUGAAGAAGGCCUUCGGGUUGUAAAGUACUUUCAGCGGGGAGGAAGGGAGUAAAGUUAAUACCUUUGCUCAUUGACGUUACCCGCAGAAGAAGCACCGGCUAACUCCGUG
This 490-nucleotide ribosomal RNA is filed under the name uncultured bacterium. Its description in RNAcentral is "partial 16S ribosomal RNA". It matches the Rfam family "Bacterial small subunit ribosomal RNA", at positions 30 to 507 of the family's 1533-position model. The record is from RNAcentral.